UACGUAGGGUGCGAGCGUUGUCCGGAAUUAUUGGGCGUAAAGAGCUCGUAGGCGGUUUGUCGCGUCGGCCGUGAAAACUUGGGGCUUAACCCCAAGCCUGCGGUCGAUACGGGCAGACUUGAGUUCGGCAGGGGAGAGUGGAAUUCCUGGUGUAGCGGUGAAAUGCGCAGAUAUCAGGAAGAACACCCGUGGCGAAAGCGGCUCUCUGGAACGGUACUGACGCUGAGACGCGAAAGCGUGGGGAGCGAACAGG
RNAcentral lists this ribosomal RNA (253 nucleotides) under uncultured bacterium. RNAcentral's name for it is "partial 16S ribosomal RNA". It matches the Rfam family "Bacterial small subunit ribosomal RNA", at positions 524 to 776 of the family's 1533-position model. The record is from RNAcentral.